RNAcentral lists this long non-coding RNA (283 nucleotides) under Pseudonaja textilis. RNAcentral's name for it is "lncRNA (ENSPTXG00000011603.1)". Lineage: Eukaryota; Metazoa; Chordata; Lepidosauria; Squamata; Elapidae. The record is from RNAcentral.
AUGAGUAGGUUUACACGCGGAGUAGUUUACACCUCGGCUCCGGUGCCUUCGGACACAUCUAGAUGUUUCGAGAACAUCUGGGGGGGGGGGGCAAGGGGGGGCACAUAAACACACUUCAGGACUGGCUCGACGGGAAUAAACGAAAGGAACGGGCGAGCGAGAGCCCGAGUAAGGAUGCAGUCUCCUCUCUUCAUUGUUUGAUCACACCAAGAUAGAUGCUAUGCAAAUCAUCACGCAAGACUAGAGAUACUUUGAGGAGCGCUCUUCACAGCUGCAAACCAGG